Molecule: ribosomal RNA, 253 nt
Filed under: uncultured bacterium
Lineage: Bacteria
Description: partial 16S ribosomal RNA
Rfam family: Bacterial small subunit ribosomal RNA
Source: RNAcentral
UACGAAGGGGGCUAGCGUUGCUCGGAUUGACUGGGCGUAAAUGGCGCGUAGGCGGUUCGUACAGUCAGACGUGAAAUUCCUGGGCUCAACCUGGGGGCUGCGUUUGAUACGUGCGGACUUGAGUGCGGAAGAGGGUCGUGGAAUUCCCAGUGUAGAGGUGAAAUUCGUAGAUAUUGGGAAGAACACCGGUGGCGAAGGCGGCGACCUGGUCCGAUACUGACGCUGAGGCGCGAAAGCUAGGGGAGCAAACAGG